RNAcentral lists this ribosomal RNA (497 nucleotides) under uncultured bacterium. RNAcentral's name for it is "partial 16S ribosomal RNA". It matches the Rfam family "Bacterial small subunit ribosomal RNA", at positions 28 to 507 of the family's 1533-position model. The record is from RNAcentral.
GAUGAACGCUGGCGGCGUGCCUAAUACAUGCAAGUCGAGCGAACAGACGAGGAGCUUGCUCCUCUGACGUUAGCGGCGCACGGGUGAGUAACACGUGGAUAACCUACCUAUAAGACUGGUAUAACUUCGGGAAACCGGCGCUAAUAGCGGAUAAUAUCUUGAACCGCAUGGUUCAUUAGUGAAAGACGGUUUUGCUGUCACUUAUCGAUGGAUCCGCGCCGCAUUAGCUAGUUGGUGAGGUAACGGCGUACCAAGGCGAGUAUGCGUAUCCGACCUGAGGGGGGGGUCGCCCACAUGAGAAGUGGAACGGCGUCAAGGCGCCUACGAGAGGGAGCAGUAGGGAAUCGGCCGCAGUGGGGGGAAGCCUGACGGAACGGCGGGGAGUGAGUGGUGGAGAUGUUCGGAGCGGAAUACUCUGUUAUUAGGGAAGAACAAAUGUGUAAGGAACUAUGGACGUCUUGACGGUAACUAGUCAGAAAGCCACGGCUAACUACGUG